This 602-nucleotide long non-coding RNA is filed under the name Venturia canescens. Its description in RNAcentral is "uncharacterized LOC122411041". The record is from RNAcentral. Lineage: Eukaryota; Metazoa; Arthropoda; Insecta; Hymenoptera; Ichneumonidae.
GUCACCGAACAGUCAACAUUAUAAUCAAUUAUGGAAGUAUCAUCAUCAACUCGUACAACAGUCGUUGCGGUCAGCGUACCGCGACAAUGGUUGUCAGCGUGUUCAAGGGAUGUAUUGGAGAGCAUCUUGCGGCGAGCACUCCGAUCAUACAUCGUGGCUGAAAACGAUGUAUCAGUAAGAAUCGCGGGGAUAGAGGCGCAACUGGUUGAAUUCCAUUUCGGUGAAUACUGGUUCGUGCCAAAAAAUCUCUUCAACGACAAUAACGAUGACAACAACGACAACAACGAUAACACAGACAAGGGGAAUGAGAAUGACAACGACGACGACGACGACGUAAUUGUCCUAGAUGACAGCAACGAUAACAAAGAUAAGGGAAACGAGAAGGACAACGACGAUGAUGACGAUGUAACCGUCCUAAAUUAAACAUGUAUCGUCAUCAACUGCGGUUCCAAUACCACGAUCGUAAUCACAAUUAUCAUCAUCAUCAUCCCAUCAUAGUAUCAUCGGGAACGAGUAUCAGAAUUUUUUUAUAAAGUUAUUUUGACUCAAUAAAAACUACUUUUUACAAAAAAAAAAAAUAUUUCAUCAUGUAUAUGAUACUU